RNAcentral lists this ribosomal RNA (253 nucleotides) under uncultured bacterium. RNAcentral's name for it is "partial 16S ribosomal RNA". It matches the Rfam family "Bacterial small subunit ribosomal RNA", at positions 524 to 776 of the family's 1533-position model. The record is from RNAcentral.
UACGUAGGGUGCAAGCGUUAAUCGGAAUUACUGGGCGUAAAGCGUGCGCAGGCGGUUCGCUAAGACAGAUGUGAAAUCCCCGGGCUUAACCUGGGAACUGCAUUUGUGACUGGCGGGCUAGAGUAUGGCAGAGGGGGGUAGAAUUCCACGUGUAGCAGUGAAAUGCGUAGAGAUGUGGAGGAAUACCGAUGGCGAAGGCAGCCCCCUGGGCCAAUACUGACGCUCAUGCACGAAAGCUAGGGGAGCAAACAGG